AGUGAACGCUGGCGGCGUGCUUAACACAUGCAAGUCGAACGAGAACGGAUUAUAGCUUGCUAUAAUUGUCAGCUAAGUGGCGCACGGGUGAGUAAUAUAUAGAUAACCUGCCCUCUAGAAAGGAAUAACAGUUGGAAACGACUGCUAAUGCCCUAUAUGCCUUUAAUACAUAAGUAUGCAAGGGAAACGCUUUAGUGCUAGAGGAUGGGUCUGUAUGGUAUCAGCUUGUUGGUGAGGUAAUGGCUCACCAAGGCUAUGACGCCUAACUGGUUUGAGAGGAUGAUCAGUCACACUGGAACUGAGACACGGUCCAGACUCCUACGGGAGGCAGCAGUGGGGAAUAUUGCACAAUGGACGAAAGUCUGAUGCAGCAACGCCGCGUGGAGGAUGACACAUUUCGGUGCGUAAACUCCUUUUAUAUAGGAAGAUAAUGACGGUACUAUAUGAAUAAGCACCGGCUAACUCCG
This 467-nucleotide ribosomal RNA is filed under the name uncultured bacterium. Its description in RNAcentral is "bacterial SSU rRNA". It matches the Rfam family "Bacterial small subunit ribosomal RNA", at positions 29 to 505 of the family's 1533-position model. The record is from RNAcentral.